Molecule: unclassified non-coding RNA, 747 nt
Filed under: Hevea brasiliensis (rubber tree)
Lineage: Eukaryota; Viridiplantae; Streptophyta; Magnoliopsida; Malpighiales; Euphorbiaceae
Source: RNAcentral
GAUACUUAGUGUGCUGAUAGCUGCAUCCAUCAGAUGGUCCCACAUGCAAAAUGCCAAGUUAAUUAGAAAAUUCACAACUAAUUAACCACUAGAAUGCUCAUGCACAAAAAACUGCUAAUCGACUUUAAAAAAUGAAAUUCCCCCCUACUCCACACGAGACAGACAAAUUAAACUACCAACCUAGAAACAAACAUCACACUACUUUUUAUUCACUCUCUUAAACAGAAACAGGUUCAGACUUGACCAGGGGCCUUGUGUCACAUGACGAUGUUUACCUAAUCUCACUGAGGCUUUCGAGCAAUUUUGCGAUGCUAGGAAUGCAUAGUAAAGGGGUGCCAACUUAUUGAAUGCAGUUUAGGGUAGAAUCUGAAUUUGAAAUCUCACAUGUCAAAAAAGAAAAAUACACAAUGGCACACAAAAUUUCAGGAUGCAAAUAACAAUAUAUUAUUGACCCUAAAAAAUAACCUUUUUUUGCAGAAAAUUCAGAAGAAAAGGUAAAUUAUCUCAAGGAAAAAAAAAACUUUUUUGAUUCCAAUUGUACUGGUAAUUAAAUGUAAUAAGUAAAGAAAGAGCAACAGAAUGCUAACAAGGAAAACACAGGUAGCAAUGUAGCAUCUCUUAAUUGUUCUUUCUCCUGCAAGGUUUGUUUCUAAAUACACAAACAAAUAGGAUAAUAACUGAAAUUUAUUGAAAAAAAAAAGUAAAAAAAUAUAAUGCUAUGCAACAAUGGCCAUGAAAGAAAUCAAC